RNAcentral lists this ribosomal RNA (504 nucleotides) under uncultured bacterium. Its description in RNAcentral is "bacterial SSU rRNA". It matches the Rfam family "Bacterial small subunit ribosomal RNA", at positions 25 to 518 of the family's 1533-position model. The record is from RNAcentral.
CAGGAUGAACGCUAGCUACAGGCUUAACACAUGCAAGUCGAGGGGCAGCAUGAGCUUAGCUUGCUAAGCUUGAUGGCGACCGGCGCACGGGUGAGUAACGCGUAUCCAACCUUCCCCUUAGUAGGGCAUAGCCGGUGAAAAUCGGAUUAAUACCCUAUGUUCUUCACAGCGGGCAUCUAACGUGAAGCAAAGGUUCACCGCUAAGGGAUGGGGAUGCGUCUGAUUAGGUAGUCGGCGGGGUAACGGCCCACCGAGCCAUCGAUCAGUAGGGGUUCUGAGAGGAAGGUCCCCCACAUUGGAACUGAGACACGGUCCAAACUCCUACGGGAGGCAGCAGUGAGGAAUAUUGGUCAAUGGUCGAGAGACUGAACCAGCCAAGUAGCGUGCAAGGAUGACGGCCCUAUGGGUUGUAAACUGCUUUUAUGCGGGGAUAAAGUCACCCACGUGUGGGUGUUUGCAGGUACCGCAUGAAUAAGGACCGGCUAAUUCCGUGCCAGCAGCCGC